This 109-nucleotide ribosomal RNA is filed under the name Bison bison bison. The record is from RNAcentral. Lineage: Eukaryota; Metazoa; Chordata; Mammalia; Artiodactyla; Bovidae.
GUCUACGGCCAUACCACCCUGAACGCGCCCGAUCUCGUCUGAUCUCGGAAGCUAAGCAGGGUCGGGCCUGGUUAGUACUUGGAUGGGAGAAGACAGCUUCCCUUUGCUG